This 373-nucleotide ribosomal RNA is filed under the name uncultured bacterium. RNAcentral's name for it is "bacterial SSU rRNA". It matches the Rfam family "Bacterial small subunit ribosomal RNA", at positions 521 to 896 of the family's 1533-position model. The record is from RNAcentral.
UAAGACGGAGGGGGCUAGCGUUGUUCGGAAUGACUGGGCGUAAAGGGCGCGUAGGCGGCUUUUUAAGUGAGGCGUGAAAGCCCUGGGCUUAACCCAGGAGGUGCGUUUCAUACUGAAGAGCUUGAGUACGAGAGAGGAAAGUGGAAUUCCUAGUGUAGAGGUGAAAUUCGUAGAUAUUAGGAAGAACACCAGUGGCGAAGGCGGCUUUCUGGCUCGUAACUGACGCUGAGGCGCGAAAGCGUGGGGAGCAAACAGGAUUAGAUACCCUGGUAGUCCACGCUGUAAACGAUGAGUGCUAGAUGUUGGAGGGUAACUUUCAGUGUCGCAGCUAACGCAUUAAGCACUCCGCCUGGGGAGUACGGUCGCAAGAUUA